Molecule: non-coding RNA, 4971 nt
Organism: Oryza sativa Japonica Group (Japanese rice)
Lineage: Eukaryota; Viridiplantae; Streptophyta; Magnoliopsida; Poales; Poaceae
Source: RefSeq, a predicted model, not a curated record
UGAUCCAUUCAUAUCUUUUCCUGCAUGUAUGGUUGGUGCACUGCAUUUUGGCUGCUAUCCUCAACCUUUGAUUUUCUUCUACUUGCUGCAGCUCUUGUUUUAGCAAGAGCUUAAGGGAACAAGAGUGAUAUAUGCUCCUGAUGAUGUAAGGUUAGGGAGAUUAUAAUCAGUCUGGUUAGGCUGAUCUUGAUCUGCUCCUUUGCAUUGUAUAUGUAGUAUAUGUAGCUACUGUUCAUCAUCCUUCAACUUUUCAGUCGAUUCUGUCUUUGAAUUGUACAUUUAUGUAUCUUCUCUGAAAACUGAAGGUUGUCAAGUUGUUUCUGGGCAUUGACAAGUUAAUAUGUGUUUUAGUCUGAAGGAAAAUUCUAUGAACAUCCUGCCGAUGUUUCUGAACGGUGUAACAUUCCUGAAAUGAGCUUUUUCUGUCAAUCUGUUAAUCGUUAUCAUCUCAUUUUCAAGUAAAAUUGUACUGUAAUCAGAUCUGCCAUCAUAAACAUCAUGAAUCAUGGAACUAUUGCUAGCUGCUUUGGUAUUACUCAAAAGUCUCUGUUUUCUUUGCCCAACUGGAAGGGACUUGGUUCAGGACCUGCAGGCUAGCUACACUUCAGGUGCACACCCAAGUCACCAACUAUUCAUCAAUUUGUUUUCCUCUUUGUCACAGAAAAGUACACACAAGAGUAUUCAUCUCUCAGCUUGCACACUUAUUGCUACCUCUUUCGAUUCCCUGAAAUUUAUUCAGUUUUACAUAACCCACUAGUUCAUCGUUGCUGACCCCCACUGAAAUAUGGAAAUGCAUGCUUAUCGUUUCUGAUCCCUCUUUGGAUGUGCAAUUGUAAGAUCAUGUAACACUUGAUAAAAGGUGGGAGUUUUCUGAAACUCCGGGCCAUAAUACUCCGUAAUUGGGGAAUUGAGGAUUAGAGGCACACAAAGGUUGUUCAGAUUGAUGCUAUUUUCAACCAUAUCAUUUUUUGGCAUAGUUGCCAAAAAUGUGUCUACGUUAGUUUGUUGCCAAACUUUAGUAAAUACAUAAGAAAUUCUGUCAAAAUUUUGGCAAUAUUGCCAACUUGCUAUAAUGUCAAAAUUUGGUAAAAUUUAUUUUGGCUACAAUCUAAACAGGCCCAAAAAUACUGUGAGUUUGAUACAAUUUUAACCUACAAAUCCAGAGUUCAUGUUCUCAGUAGCAACUUAAACCGGGAGUACAUGUUUCUUUAUUUAGUUCACUGUGACCAGAAGAACAGAAAAGGAUGUAUAGUUCUUCUCGGAGUAUAUUAAGCCAAGAAUCCAAGACUCCCAUUCAAAUGGAGGAAGUUCAGAGAAAUUUUACAAGAAUCAGAUUAAUUUCUAAAAGAAAUGCAGAAAAUUAAACUACAGAAAUCUCUUACUAGCAGAUUCUUGUUAUGUUUGAAAGAGGCCCAGAAGAAAUGUGGCCCAUAUCAUCCUCCUUCCCCCAUCCUUUUUCAAACACACUAAAAAAAGAAAAGAAAAGAAAAAAAACGAAAAUUCCCACUCACUUUCCCCAGCGACGCCUCACUCCCAGCUCCGAAGCUCAACGGCGGCCACCGCGGCGAGGCGUCGCCGCCGCUCCAGGCCUCCCAUCGGCGACGAACAAGCAGCCAGUAGGCACGCGCUUCCGCUAGGAACGUCCGCAUGUGGAGGUGGUGUGGCGGCAGCGGGGUGGCGGAGCCAGAGGCCGACCGGAGGAUCCUCCGCGCCGUGCCGCGGCUUCCACCGCCGGCGGCGGCCUCCGGACGAGCCCCGGCGAAUCGAGCCUUCUCCGGCCCCGGGCGCUCCUCCGCGCGGUGUGCCGCCUCCCGCUGCCGUGGCUCGCCCUCCGCGACGGCGGCCUGCUCGACCUACACGGCGCCCGCAUCCGCAGUCACCGCGUCACUACUCCGAGAUGACGCCACCAUGGAAGGUUGUUCAUGGUGGGGCGGUGGAUGAACGUUCCACUGAACGCUAAUUUGGCUGUGUUGUUUCCCGCAGGUUACCGACUCCUCUAUCUCGUUUUCUGCGUGCAUGCUUUUCAAACGGCUAGACAGCAUGUUUUUUUGCAAAAAAAAAAUUAUAUGAAAGUUGCUUUAAAAAAAAUCAAAUUAAUCUGUUUUGAAAAAAAUACUAAUACUUAAUUGAAUCACGCGCUAAUAGAUCACUCCAUUUUCCGUACGUGGGACAUGGGUUCCCAACCGAAACUUAGCACCUAUGUCCCACGCACGGAAAACAGAACAAUCUAUUAGCGCGUGAUUAUGAGGUCUUCGAGGCAGACCUUACGAACGAUUACCCCUUGCGUUGCGGGUGGAGAAAAGUGGACAGCUUGGGUGGCCAUGCAAUCUUCCUUGGUUCACAAUGCGCCAAGUUCGUCCGUUCUAGCCAAUGUGUAGGUGGAGUUCAAGCAGAUUGCAUCUACUUCAUGCACAGAACUUUUGACAAUCCAUCCAGAGUGUACUGGGGUCCAUGUGUUGAUCCUCUUGGCGAAUCUGGCGUGUACAACAUGAGAAAUAGUGAAAUCACACCGUUGCUUACUUGCUUCCAGAGGCCGUGAUGGCAGAGCUGCGUCUCAAACGCCAGUUUCUGACCUGGUUCCUCCCUGCUGAUGUGUAAAUUCUUUGUUUGCUUGAAUGGUUGUUCUGGUUCUGGAGUGUUAGUACAGUUGAUGUGUUGGUAAGCCAAUCUUUAGAAUACAUUUGAUAAUCGAAUAUAUAUUUUCUGUGCAAGUUAUACAAAAUUUAGAAUCCUUUUUAUUGCUAAGUAUUUUCAUUGCAUGCUAUGCAAAAUAGGCUGCUUUCAUGUCUGGUUUUGUGUGGAAGAAAUGGUUAGGAUCUCACAAGUGUGCUUAAAUUAUGUUUCAUUUUGUACUGGCCGAGUUAAUAUAUGUCUUAUCUGAAAGAAAAUGCAGUAAACACCCUGCUAAUGUUUCAGGUGGGUGUGACAGGCUAACAGCCCAGAAAUGAUUUUUCUCUGUGUGUGUGAUUUGUCAUUUGCCUGAACAAAUAAAUGGGCGCUAUGGCUUUCUUUUUUGUUGUAAUCAGUACUGCCAGGAAAAAAAAUGUCCAAAUUAUAGCUGGUUGUGUUCGUCAUCUUCAAACUAUUCUCAGAUGUUUUGUUCAACUGGAAGCAACUCAGGCGGAACUCUUCCCUGCAAAUAGACUUUGCAUACAUCAUCCUGCAAGCUGCCAUGGUGAUACACUUGAGGUAGAAUGGAGAGGCAAGAACGUGCACUGAUGGUUCAGAUAGACGGUACAACUCCCGAUGCCUCCCAUACCUACAACUUCGAAUGGAACAUAUCAGGAUCGUCUGUCCUUCUCCAUCAGCUUUCGAGCUACUCUCAUCUCUUUUAUGUGCCAAAAUAUAUUAGAUUGUUUAUAUAUCAUCAAAAUCAAAUGUAUUUUUGACGCGUGCAGCGGUGUUCAAAUGGGCACUGAAUGCAGAAGACAUGGUAACCUAUAAUCUUGACGACCAUGCCUUCUGAUGACUUAAUUUUGAGUAAUCCCCAAACGGGUGGAGUCAUGGAGAGAUGAGAUGAGAUCGACUUAACUACCUGAUGAUACUGAACAAUUCAUUACUGCACAAAAGAGUGUUCAGUAUCUAAAUAUCUAAUUUCCCUGCAACAAUUCAUAACCUUCAAAUCUACAUUUCAGUUAGAAUUGCAUCUGAUUCGCAGCCUCAGAUCAGAUGUGCGGUGCCAUCACAUAAGAGAGCAAGAUCACGUCAUCACAGUCACAACGGUCUUUGCACCUGCACCACUACAGUAGUGCAGAAUGCACUGCUUGCCAUGGCGAUGCGAGGAAGACGAAGUUGCACAUGGUUUCAUCCGAGGCAGCGUCCGAGAGACAACAUGUCCCUCCGACUGUUUCAGCUGCUGUAAAGAGAUGUUGUGAUUUAUCGUCUAUGUGGCUAGUUAGGGAAGUGAACAAUCGCUGCGUGCCGUAAGAUGAUAACUCCUGAUGCCUCCUAAGCCAACAAGGCAACAACCAUGCAUACUACAUAGUAACCCGGAAGCUGCAUGGCUGGAGUGACCUGAUAUGCCUCCAUGAAGGGUAGUUCAUCGCUAGCUCUUGCAGAAUUUCUUGCUCUUUCAUCCGAGACCUUCGAUAUAUAGAGCUAGCAUUUCAUUUGAUACAGUUAUUCAUCUCUCCAAUUACAAUUGAAUGCAGCACCUACCACUGCAUGAAUGGGUCGAUCAUCCCGGAUAUCCCAUGCUUAUAAAAUUACUUGAUGAAUGCAAGUUCAACUUCGUUAAAGAUUCAGACAUCUUUUUUGAAAAUGUUAAAAGGUUCAGAGACAAGGAAUUAACUCGGUUCAUUAUUCUUCAUUGGACAAGAGUACUGUGAUCUGAUUCCUUGAAAUAAUUCUGUGAUGAUCUGAUUCCUUGAAAUAAUUCUAAGACCUGGGCGAGAAAGGCCCGGGGUCUUCCUGGCUAGCAACGCAAGCUGCGAGCUAGCCGGUCCAGGACAUGCAGGUGACACUUCAGUUAGACACCAACCAUUCAGAUCACCCCUUCCAGAAGCAGCCAAGGUUACACAAGACACCAUUGUCAGAAACGGCACCGGCAAGACGGCAUGCCAAGCUCACCUUCAUGGCUUCAACUAGAGGAUGGUUCAUCGAUGUGGCUUAUCAUGACUGAGGUGUCUAAGGAAAUUGUAGUGACCUUAAUUCCUGCUGGUAUUUCUCCACAAUAACCAGAAGAGUUUCUUGUGAUCUUUUUUGUUCAAUUGGAUGAUCCAUAUGCAGUUUCGUUCUUCUGAAUUGGUACAAAUUAACCCUGAUGUGUCCAAACCAACAAGAAAAACCCAAUUUACUCCGUCGAAUGCAUUAUAGAGGACAUCAGCUGCACCAACACAGUAGCAAACAUUUGAUUUGACGCAAUUAGUGUGCAAUGUCUGAAAAAACUGGGAUCGUGUGCUUCCCUUUCCAAAUAUCUGAGAUCGAUGUAAGUUCAUGGAACUUUUGGUACAUGAAAUGCGUUCUCAUGGA